RNAcentral lists this long non-coding RNA (653 nucleotides) under Nicotiana tabacum (common tobacco). Its description in RNAcentral is "long non-coding RNA (NTAB_LNC015634)". The record is from RNAcentral. Lineage: Eukaryota; Viridiplantae; Streptophyta; Magnoliopsida; Solanales; Solanaceae.
AAGUGUACAUUAAAUAACAGACCAACAGCAAUCUAAAUUAGGUUACCAAGAACGUCGACAUUUGCCUAAAAACCUAAAUAAUGACCGGUAAAGAGACCAAAUUUCAUGAACUCGAUUAAGACACCUGAACUUGCUAAGUACCUCGGAAGGAAAAUGGAUUCUCUUCCACACAUUUAACUAAGAAUAAGAUAUUGACAUUUGAAACAAAAAAAAUAACAAAAUAUUGAACAUUUAGUAACUGGAUUAUCUUACAAAUGGAUGUACUUUAAAGUCUCAUGGUGAAAGUGUACAUUAAAUAACAGACCAACAGCAAUCUAAAUUAGAUUACCAAGAACCUCGACAUUUGCCUAAAACCCUAAAUAAUGACAGGUAAACAGAGGUGCAAUACAGCUUAUCAGGCCUCCAUCAUAGUUAAUGAAGCGACUCGAAGUAUGACCUCUAAUUUGCUCCUUUUUUUUUCUGGUCACAUAGUCCCUGUUCAGAGGCAAACUAUAUACAGCACAGACCUGUGAACUGGAUCAUAACCACAAGUGUAUGAAUAAAUGGAUGCCACUUUUUCGUAUGUACUGGAAAAUCAGUAAAAUUGCACGUAGUCAAGGCUUGAGUCACAUUAGCUGGCGCACUAGCAGUUGAAUAGUAGGGAUUAUGACUUG